Molecule: microRNA precursor, 75 nt
Filed under: Gyrodactylus salaris (gyrodactylosis fluke)
Lineage: Eukaryota; Metazoa; Platyhelminthes; Monogenea; Gyrodactylidea; Gyrodactylidae
Description: microRNA gsa-mir-9397 precursor
Source: miRBase by way of RNAcentral
AGAUGUAUUCUUGGCACGAGAACCCAACAAUCGACUCUCUAUCGAUUUCAAAUCUCGGCUAAAAUUGCAUCGCUU